This 29-nucleotide non-coding RNA is filed under the name Mus musculus (house mouse). The record is from RNAcentral. Lineage: Eukaryota; Metazoa; Chordata; Mammalia; Rodentia; Muridae.
UGGGAAGUUGGACUUUCUGGGUGAAUCAA